Neogale vison (American mink) is the source of this 520-nucleotide long non-coding RNA. RefSeq lists it as uncharacterized. The transcript is spliced from 3 exons. The record is from RefSeq and is a predicted model, not a curated record. Lineage: Eukaryota; Metazoa; Chordata; Mammalia; Carnivora; Mustelidae.
CGCAGUCCAGGGCGCGAGGCGUGAGGCGUCUCGAGGCGAGGUUGCGUUCUGCUGGCCGCGCGCCAUUUCCUGUCACAACCGGGUGAUUUCACAGCAAUUUGUGGCGUUCAUCUCAGUGGACGAGAGACAUUUUAACCUGGGAAGUCUUGUGGAGUACAGGGCAGGCCGAUUUGGGGUUCGUUGCGGAGCACUAAAUUCUUGGAAGGAGGGCUUAUUUUCAGGCAAUGGCGAUGUGUGUGUGUUUUGUGUGUGAGUGAACAAGAAAUAAAAGAUUCCCAUGAUGAAGAUUUUCCAGGAGAGACUUUGAGUUAAAGAAGGCUUUUUAUACUUGACAAGUGUUGUCAUCUGUAAUGAAGAUCACUGAAAAACAGAAGAUUGAAUAAAGCCUUGUAACAUUGGACCUGGAUAGGAGAUUUAGAAAAGAAAAUUACUCACUUUGGUUUUAGUGUUUCAAUUUCAUAAUAUUUAUUCUUUUGAAUAAAUUUAAGGAGUAGAAAUUAAAAUUCAGUGCUAUACUAAC